This 484-nucleotide ribosomal RNA is filed under the name uncultured bacterium. RNAcentral describes it as "partial 16S ribosomal RNA". It matches the Rfam family "Bacterial small subunit ribosomal RNA", at positions 30 to 507 of the family's 1533-position model. The record is from RNAcentral.
AUUGAACGCUGGCGGCAGGCCUAACACAUGCAAGUCGAGCGGAUGAAGGGAGCUUGCUCCUGGAUUCAGCGGCGGACGGGUGAGUAAUGCCUAGGAAUCUGCCUGGUAGUGGGGGAUAACGUCCGGAAACGGGCGCUAAUACCGCAUACGUCCUGAGGGAGAAAGUGGGGGAUCUUCGGACCUCACGCUAUCAGAUGAGCCUAGGUCGGAUUAGCUAGUUGGUGGGGUAAGGGCCUACCAAGGCGACGAUCCGUAACUGGUCUGAGAGGAUGAUCAGUCACACUGGAACUGAGACACGGUCCAGACUCCUACGGGAGGCAGCAGUGGGGAAUAUUGGACAAUGGGCGAAAGCCUGAUCCAGCCAUGCCGCGUGUGUGAAGAAGGUCUUCGGAUUGUAAAGCACUUUAAGUUGGGAGGAAGGGCAGUAAGUUAAUACCUUGCCGUUUUGACGUUACCAACAGAAUAAGCACCGGCUAACUUCGUG